UCGAGAAUCUUUCGCAAUGGGCGCAAGCCUGACGAAGCGACGCCGUGUGAGCGAAGAAGGCCUUCGGGUUGUAAAGCUCUUUCGCUAGGGAACAAGAGAGGCAUGGUAAUAUAAUGCCGAUUUGAUGGUACUUGGUAAAGAAGCACCGGCUAACUCCGUGCCAGCAGCUGCGGUAAUACGGAGGGUGCAAGCAUUGAUCGGAAUUACUGGGCGUAAAGGGCGCGUAGGCGGUUUUGAAAGUCAGAUGUGAAAUUCCGGGGCUCAACCCCGGAGCUGCAUUUGAAACUUCAGAACUAGAGGUCAGUUAGGGAAAACGGAAUUCCACGUGUAGCGGUGAAAUGCGUAGAUAUGUGGAAGAACACCAGUGGUGAAGACGGUUUUCUGGGCUGAUACUGACGCUGAGGCGCGAAAGCAAGGGGAGCAAACAGG
RNAcentral lists this ribosomal RNA (429 nucleotides) under uncultured bacterium. RNAcentral's name for it is "bacterial SSU rRNA". It matches the Rfam family "Bacterial small subunit ribosomal RNA", at positions 355 to 776 of the family's 1533-position model. The record is from RNAcentral.